Molecule: ribosomal RNA, 451 nt
Filed under: uncultured bacterium
Lineage: Bacteria
Description: bacterial SSU rRNA
Rfam family: Bacterial small subunit ribosomal RNA
Source: RNAcentral
ACGAACGCUGGCGGCGUGCUUAACACAUGCAAGUCGAACGGGGGUAGCAAUACCCUAGUGGCGGACGGGUGAGUAACGCGUAGGUAAUCUGCCCCUCGGUGGGGGACACCCGGCCGAAAGGCCGGCUAAUACCGCAUACGCUGUACGGUUGCAAUACUGUGCAGGAAAGGUUUACUGCCGAGGGAUGAGCCUGCGUCCGAUUAGCUAGUUGGUGGAGUAAUAGCCCACCAAGGCGACGAUCGGUAGCUGGUCUGAGAGGACGAUCAGCCACACUGGAACUGAGACACGGUCCAGACUCCUACGGGAGGCAGCAGUGGGGAAUUUUCCGCAAUGGGCGAAAGCCUGACGGAGCAACGCCGCGUGGGUGAUGAAGGUUUUCGGAUCGUAAAGCCCUUUCAGUUGGGAAGAAACAAAUGACGGUACCAACAGAAGAAGCACCGGCUAACUACGU